This 1340-nucleotide ribosomal RNA is filed under the name uncultured bacterium. RNAcentral describes it as "partial 16S ribosomal RNA". It matches the Rfam family "Bacterial small subunit ribosomal RNA", at positions 28 to 1363 of the family's 1533-position model. The record is from RNAcentral.
GAUGAACGCUGGCGGCGUGCCUAACACAUGCAAGUCGAACGGAGUUUUGUGAGGGAAGUCUACGGAUGGACGUUAUAAAACUUAGUGGCGGACGGGUGAGUAACGCGUGGGCAACCUGCCGUAUACAGGGGGAUAACAACUGGAAACAGUUGCUAACACCGCAUAAGCGCACGGUACCGCAUGGUACCGAGUGAAAAUCUCCGGAGGUAUACGAUGGGCCCGCGUCUGAUUAGCCAGUUGGUGGGGUAACGGCCUACCAAAGCGACGAUCAGUAGCCGGCCUGAGAGGGUGGACGGCCACAUUGGGACUGAGACACGGCCCAAACUCCUACGGGAGGCAGCAGUGGGGGAUAUUGCACAAUGGGGGAAACCCUGAUGCAGCGACGCCGCGUGAGUGAAGAAGCAAUUCGUUGCGUAAAGCUCUAUCAGCAGGGAAGAAGAAAUGACGGUACCUGAAUAAGAAGCCCCGGCUAACUACGUGCCAGCAGCCGCGGUAAUACGUAGGGGGCAAGCGUUAUCCGGAUUUACUGGGUGUAAAGGGAGCGUAGACGGCAGUGCAAGUCCGAUGUGAAAACCCGGGGCUCAACCCUGGGAGUGCAUUGGAAACUGUACGGCUGGAGUGCAGGAGAGGUAAGCGGAAUUCCUGGUGUAGCGGUGAAAUGCGUAGAUAUCAGGAGGAACACCAGUGGCGAAGGCGGCUUACUGGACUGUAACUGACGUUGAGGCUCGAAAGCGUGGGGAGCAAACAGGAUUAGAUACCCUGGUAGUCCACGCUGUAAACGAUGAAUACUAGGUGUCGGGGGUUUACGGACGUCCGGNNNUNNNNNNNNNNGNNGCNGANANCGGCCGCGCAAGCGUAGUAUCCACUGGGAUACGUGCAGAAGAAUCAAAGAAUGAGGGACGCACAGCGCCGCCGGGGGAGUGUGUUUUUUUUAGCCACGCGGAGAACCCUAGCCUACAGCUGCAUCCCCCUGGAUAACGGGUAAUGCCGUUAGCCUUUCGGGGCAGGGGGGACAGGUGGUGCAUGGUUGUCGUCAGCUCGUGUCGUGANANNNANUUUNNNUAGAGUUGGGUAGUCCCCACGGGCACCCCUUUUCGUGCCAGCACGAAGAGGGGGCAUUUAAGGGACAGCCGGGCACCCCGGGGAAGGCGGGGAUGACGUCAAAUCAUCAUGCCCCUUAUGGUCUGGGCUACACACGUGCUACAAUGGCGCAUACAAAGUGAGGCAAGCCGGCGACGGCAAGCAAAACACAGAAAGCGCGUUCUCAGUUCGGAUUGCAGCCUGCAACUCGGCUGCAUGAAGCCGGAAUCGCUAGUAAUCGCGGAUCAGAAUGCCGCGGU